UGGAACGCACAAUGCCGGCACACCACAAAAACAACAUUUUUCUUCAGGAACAAAGCACCUCGCCCUGAUCUAACGAUUCUCCACCUACUGCGAUGUAUUCAGUUCCUCCUGCCUCAGUGCAUCCUUCGAGAUAUCAUCCGGGUUUAUUCUCUCGUUAUGAUUUAGACAUUCGGACCCAGAAAGCUAUAAAGUGCGACCACAUCGACAUUUUACGAAAGAUACAAAAUUAUUGAAGAAAGUUCGCUCUAUCUUCUUCCAAUACAAAAUGAUGGGAAUGAAGAGCUUCAUGUUGUAUUGUACAACAAUUCUUUGGAUCUUUUCCACCCUUACUGCCAGCAUGAAAUCACUGCAAAAUGAACAUCCCCACAUCUGCGUAAGUGCAACAACGUGCCGCCAUAGUUACAAGACUACCUGCUUGUAUCGUAAUGGACGCUUGGUCUCAGCUCAGUGCGUAGAGAAGCACGUAUUUUGUGAGUAUCCUUGGAAAGCAUAUUGCCUCGCGCCUGCACGUCUUUCUUGCCAUGGACAGUGUGCGUGCAGUUGUGUUAAUGCCAGGACAGCACGGCAGACACAAUCUAGACAGUUCACACGCCGUGCGUAAGAGGAAACGGGAAGGUAGCAAUGCUGAGCUGAUGUAACAACAGCGAAUAAGAGACCUGGUCUUUGUUCUGCACAAUGGGUGAAGGUAUAGGAAAUGCUAUGUCCGUGUGACAUAAAGAUUGUACAUGCCUUCGCAAUGUAGCAUAUUGUAAUCCAAACACUAUAACUGCACUUUCGAGUCAAUGAUUUGGUAUGUCAUGUGUCAAAAGAAAUAAAGAAGUUUAUG
This is a long non-coding RNA of Rhipicephalus sanguineus (brown dog tick), 826 nucleotides long. RefSeq lists it as uncharacterized. The record is from RefSeq and is a predicted model, not a curated record. The transcript has 5 exons. NCBI's taxonomy places the organism in Eukaryota, Metazoa, Arthropoda, Arachnida, Ixodida, Ixodidae.